This 200-nucleotide ribosomal RNA is filed under the name uncultured bacterium. RNAcentral's name for it is "partial 16S ribosomal RNA". It matches the Rfam family "Bacterial small subunit ribosomal RNA", at positions 8 to 236 of the family's 1533-position model. The record is from RNAcentral.
AGAGUUUGAUCCUGGCUCAGAACGAACGCUGGCGGCAGGCUUAACACAUGCAAGUCGAGCGCCGUAGCAAUACGGAGCGGCAGACGGGUGAGUAACGCGUGGGAACAUACCCUUCGGUUCGGAAUAACGCAGGGAAACUUGUGCUAAUACCGGAUACGGACGAGAGUCGAAAGAUUUAUCGCCGAAGGAUUGGCCCGCGU